AACAAACGCUGGCGGCGUGCCUAAUACAUGCAAGUCGAACAGGGAAAGGCCUUCGGGCCCGGUACUAGUGGCGCACGGGUGAGUAAUACAUGGGUAACCUGCCUUUCAGUGGGGAACAACCAGGGGAAACUCUGGCUAAUACCGCAUAAGACCACAGGAUCUGCGGAUCUAGGGGUUAAAGAUUUAUCGCUGAAAGAUGGGCUCAUGUCCGAUUAGCUAGUUGGUGGGGUAACGGCCCACCAAGGCUCCGAUCGGUAGCUGGUCUGAGAGGAUGAUCAGCCACACUGGAACUGAGACACGGUCCAGACUCCUACGGGAGGCAGCAGUAGGGAAUAUUGCACAAUGGAGGAAACUCUGAUGCAGCAACGCCGCGUGUGUGAUGAAGGCUCUCGGGUCGUAAAGCACUGUCGCAGGGGAAGAUAAUGACGGUACCCUGCAAGAAAGGACCGGCUAACUUCGUGCCAGCAGCCGCGGUAAGACGAGGGGUCCUAGCGUUG
RNAcentral lists this ribosomal RNA (497 nucleotides) under uncultured bacterium. Its description in RNAcentral is "bacterial SSU rRNA". It matches the Rfam family "Bacterial small subunit ribosomal RNA", at positions 29 to 543 of the family's 1533-position model. The record is from RNAcentral.